AAGAAGUUGGUACUCGACGUUUUGGCACAUGGAUUAAGGGUUAGUUUGGUUUUAAGACCCAUCUAACGCUAUUAGAUAAAAUGGAGUUGGGGUAAAAGUAUAUAGGGAUAUACUUCUGUGUUCUUCAGUGGAACCAUAGAAAAUAUAUUGUAACUGACUCAUCGCGAUAUAAUUACAUAUGAAAAUAAACAGUAUUUUUUCAUCAUACUUUCUCACCGUACAUAACGGAAUCUUCCCGCAAUCUCAAACGAAACCUAAGAAUUGUAGGGUUG
This 272-nucleotide long non-coding RNA is filed under the name Ananas comosus (pineapple). Its description in RNAcentral is "long non-coding RNA (ACOM_LNC008738)". Lineage: Eukaryota; Viridiplantae; Streptophyta; Magnoliopsida; Poales; Bromeliaceae. The record is from RNAcentral.